This 730-nucleotide ribosomal RNA is filed under the name Enterobacter cloacae. RNAcentral describes it as "bacterial SSU rRNA". It matches the Rfam family "Bacterial small subunit ribosomal RNA", at positions 57 to 776 of the family's 1533-position model. Lineage: Bacteria; Pseudomonadati; Pseudomonadota; Gammaproteobacteria; Enterobacterales; Enterobacteriaceae. The record is from RNAcentral.
GCAGUCGAACGGUAACAGGAGAGCAGCUUGCUGCUUUGCUGACGAGUGGCGGACGGGUGAGUAAUGUCUGGGAAACUGCCUGAUGGAGGGGGAUAACUACUGGAAACGGUAGCUAAUACCGCAUAACGUCGCAAGACCAAAGAGGGGGACCUUCGGGCCUCUUGCCAUCGGAUGUGCCCAGAUGGGAUUAGCUAGUAGGUGGGGUAACGGCUCACCUAGGCGACGAUCCCUAGCUGGUCUGAGAGGAUGACCAGCCACACUGGAACUGAGACACGGUCCAGACUCCUACGGGAGGCAGCAGUGGGGAAUAUUGCACAAUGGGCGCAAGCCUGAUGCAGCCAUGCCGCGUGUAUGAAGAAGGCCUUCGGGUUGUAAAGUACUUUCAGCGGGGAGGAAGGCGACAGGGUUAAUAACCCUGUCGAUUGACGUUACCCGCAGAAGAAGCACCGGCUAACUCCGUGCCAGCAGCCGCGGUAAUACGGAGGGUGCAAGCGUUAAUCGGAAUUACUGGGCGUAAAGCGCACGCAGGCGGUCUGUCAAGUCGGAUGUGAAAUCCCCGGGCUCAACCUGGGAACUGCAUUCGAAACUGGCAGGCUAGAGUCUUGUAGAGGGGGGUAGAAUUCCAGGUGUAGCGGUGAAAUGCGUAGAGAUCUGGAGGAAUACCGGUGGCGAAGGCGGCCCCCUGGACAAAGACUGACGCUCAGGUGCGAAAGCGUGGGGAGCAAACAGG